RNAcentral lists this transfer RNA (66 nucleotides) under Lopheros rubens. Its description in RNAcentral is "tRNA-Ser". Lineage: Eukaryota; Metazoa; Arthropoda; Insecta; Coleoptera; Lycidae. The record is from RNAcentral.
AGUUAAUGAACUUGAUAUAAGUAUAUAUUUUGAAAAUAUAAGAAAGGUAUAACUUCCUAUUAACAU